RNAcentral lists this long non-coding RNA (1424 nucleotides) under Mytilus galloprovincialis (Mediterranean mussel). The record is from RNAcentral. Lineage: Eukaryota; Metazoa; Mollusca; Bivalvia; Mytilida; Mytilidae.
UUCUUUCUAAAUUUGGUCCUAAAAAGAUUUUCUACUUCAUACCACUAUUUUGCAUUUAAUAAAUUUGUAUUUUAUAUUUUCAGUGUUUCUUGUACCAUCAAAACUUCAAUGAAAGAUUGCACUCAUGUUGAAGUUGUGUAACUCCUAGUAUGAAAUUGUUUGAGGAAUUUUCCCCACUUUUAUUAAAAUUUACAGACGGUACCAGUUUUGUGUAAUUAUAACUUAACUGCAGUUUGAAAUGUUUAUAAUUUUUCUAAUUUUUCUUGAAUUGGGAGCUUUUUAUCUAAAAUCUUUUUAAGAAGGUAACAAUUUUUGUUUCGAACUCAUAUCUUUAGAACUCUCAUAAUGAGCAUGCAAAUUGAUUAAGAUUGAUUGUCAUCACCAAUUUUUGACCUUUUAAAAUUCCAUAUACCGUAUUUAAAUUUCAGUAUUUAAAAGACCAUUCUCCAUUGUUAAAGGAAAAUAUGAAUUUGCACAACUGAGCUACUUCAGGCUAUGAUCAAUUUUUGGAGUAUAAUUUUCAUGCUUAUGAUGUGCAUGAUGAUAAACUUAAAAGAAGGGAUAUUUUAUUAAACUAUGCUCCAAAAUAUUAGAAAAUGUUUGUGAUUUAUAGGUGUUAGCCAAUUACUAUUCUGUUCUUUUUUUAUUACCUCUUUUUUUUAGGUCUUUACAUAUCAGAUGUCUCCAAACUAAUAUAAGAGCUAUUAUUUAGAGCUCUCUAAAUAAAAGAAAAUACAGGUUACCAAUUUAAAAGCACAUCUGGUAUUUUUACUGUAUUUUAUGUAUGAAUUAAAAAUAUUAUUUGUAUAUUACAUUGAGAAUUACUUCAACUGCCAUGAAUGGAAAAAGAAAAUAUUGUGAGAUGCUUUGGAACAUUCUUGGGACAAUUGUACACUUGAUUAAAUACAAUGGAAAGGACAUUUCGUUAAGUGCAUAAAUUGGAUUCAGUGAACUGACCAGCACAAAGAAUUAUGUUGAAAAGCAUGAAAAAGUAACCAUGGUAGCAGCUCCAAGGAAGAUGGUUAAAUAAAUCUUCAACCAAGUCUGAGGCUUUACCAAGAAAAUAAGAAGGCAAGUUUAAUUAAGUCAAACAAGUUCUAUACAUUCUAUACAUUAUUUGAUAAAAAGUGUAUAUUUAGAGCAUACAACGCAGUUACAGUGGAGAAAGUGAUGUUGCUAACGUAAAAUGUUAUUUUUUGCCUUUCAAUGGGAGAUAACUCAUUGUAAAAUGUGCAGAUGAUUUACCUUUAUGAACAAUAAAAUAUGUUUAAACCAUUAUUUUUGUGGAGUUGAAAUUCAAUAAGUAAAUUUAUAAGACUUUUUUUUUAUUUUUCAUCUUUUACAUUGAUUUUACAGUUAUUGAUGUUAUACUUUUGUGUACACGUAGUCAGAAAUCUGAACAAUAUUGGUAAAUGUAGGGGAAA